Molecule: ribosomal RNA, 324 nt
Filed under: Triticum aestivum (bread wheat)
Lineage: Eukaryota; Viridiplantae; Streptophyta; Magnoliopsida; Poales; Poaceae
Description: partial small subunit ribosomal RNA
Source: RNAcentral
AUGCUCGUCACCGUCUCUGAUCUGAACCAAUCCGGAGCCAAAGCCACUAGAUCACCGGCGCAGAUCCGCCUUGGACAGGGACAGCACCAUGCCAUGCCGCCGCGGGAAGCCCUAGCUUCACCUGCUGCGACCUUUGAGGGCCGCCGCCCCGGGAUCCAGGCCGAACGUCGCCGCCGCCAUUGGUCACGUUCCGCCGCCGCCGGCGACCGCAGCCAUGGCCGUCGUGACCACGCGGACGCGCCGAGCAGCCAGCACCACCCGCUCUUCCACGUCGCCCUGCAGCUCUGCCGCCUCUGCCCACCACCACGCUGUCGUCGGAGGUGA